GACGAACGCUGGCGGCGUGCUUAACACAUGCAAGUCGAACGGAAAGGCCUGCUUUCCCUUGUGGAUUGCGGGUACUCGAGUGGCGAACGGGUGAGUAACACGUGAGUGAUCUGCCCCCAACUUGGGUAUAAGCCUGGGAAACUGGGUCUAAUUCCCGAUAGGACUGCAGGGUGGUGCCUGUGGUGGAAAACGAUUUUCUAGUGGUUGGGGAUGAGCUCGCGGCCUAUCAGCUUGUUGGUGGGGUAAUGGCCUACCAAGGCGGCGACGGGUAGCCGGCCUGGGAGGGUGGACGGCCACAUUGGGACUGGGAUACGGCCCAGACUCCUACGGGAGGCAGCAGUGGGGAAUAUUGCACGAUGGGCGGAAGCCUGAUGCAGCGACGCCGCGUGGGGGAUGACGGCCUUCGGGUUGUAAACUCCUUUCGACCGCGAGGAAGCCACCUGGUUGGAAGGGUGGUGACGGUAGUGGUAGAAGAAGCACCGGCUAACUACGUG
RNAcentral lists this ribosomal RNA (494 nucleotides) under uncultured bacterium. RNAcentral describes it as "partial 16S ribosomal RNA". It matches the Rfam family "Bacterial small subunit ribosomal RNA", at positions 28 to 507 of the family's 1533-position model. The record is from RNAcentral.